Molecule: long non-coding RNA, 1877 nt
Filed under: Marmota monax (woodchuck)
Lineage: Eukaryota; Metazoa; Chordata; Mammalia; Rodentia; Sciuridae
Source: RNAcentral
UGGAACAUACAGCUUCAUAGCCACUUGCCUUCCUUUUUUUAUUUUUCCAUCUGAUAUACAGAUCUUGAGACCCUGGUUAUAAGAACAUUUAUUACCAGAUGAAAAAUAUGUAAGAGGAAGAGUAUUGCUAGAAUCAGAGCCUUAGGUAGGCUAUGUAUCAGCCAAAUUUCUUCCAUUCAUUUCCCUUUAUGAGAUAAGGGAUCAACCCCACAUGCCUUGAAGUGAGGCACAAUCACUGACUGCUGUGGAAAGGAAGGCCCUUCAUGCAAACCUGCCCUGUAUUUGGUGUGCAGCAAUGCGGCCUGUCUCUUUAAUUCAAAUGUCAGUUUCUAUUGGAAGAAAGCCUUUGAGGCUGGCAUGGUGAAAUUUCUAGGCAGCGUUUCUUUGGAAACUCUUUGCAGUAUCCAUGGAUACUCAAUCUGCAGGAAGCAAGGUGCAUGAUCUCUUCAGAAGCAAUGCACAUGCACAUAUAGUUUCUCUGCAUUGGAAGGAGAAGUACUGCAAAAUCUGAUUAUUUUUGGAGAUUAUUAAUACAAAAACAACUCCAUCUAUCAGUGUAGUGGAGUUUUAUUUGUUCUGAAAACAUGUACAUAAAAUAACCCCAGAAGAGUUCAAGUAUUUAUAACCAGAGGAGUUUAUGGCCUAGGAGCCUUAUUUUGAACGUUUUGUCUGCUCUAUAUUUGUCACUUAAUCAUUACCUCAGUUCAUCUGUCUACCAAGAAAUGGUUCACAAUUAGUCCUAAACCUUCCUGGGGUAAUUUACUUUAAAAAAAAAAAAGAAAUUUAACAGUGCUGUGAAUAAAAUCUCCUUUUAAUAAGAACAAAAUGAAGAUCAGUUAAAGAAGAUAGUUAUUGAGUCCAAUGGUGAUGUCUACAAAUAUUUGAACAUUAUUACUUUAAAGAACAUUCUUUUUUUUUCUUUUUUAAUACUUGCUACUUGCCUGGACUUGGUCUUCUGAAUACCAAACCCUGUAAUUAUGAUGCAGAGUAAAUAAUUAUUCUUGGAUUGAACUCAACAAAAAAGAAUUCCUUGUUACUGUUUUUCCCUUGUGGACUGGCAUUUCACCAGCUGUUACAUAAUUCUCAGUGUCCUUGUAUUUGAAAAAUGUCAAUUCAUCUCAAAGCCUUGUGGUAGUGAUAUGAGUGAUGAAAUACUCUUGUAAAAAAGCAACCUCUGUACUCAGCAUUUUUAUAAUUUUAUAGUCUUCAUAGUUUUAUAGUCUUCUUACUUAAAGAUGAGUUGACUUCUUCAGGAGUCUUCUGCUGAUGUAGUUACUAUACUGUGGUUUGAUUAGGGUAUGUGUGUCUCUCAAAGAGUCAUGUGCUGGAAACUUUGACUUCAGUGUUGGCAGCUUUGAGGUAGUGGGACCUUUAAGAGGUGGUGCCUAGUACAAGAUAAUUAGCUCAUGGGGCAUUGCCCUUGGAAGGGAUUAAUGCUGGUCUCACAUAAUGAGAGUAAGUUGUUAUAAGAGUAAGUCUGGGGCACGCCUGUAAUCCCAGCAAUUUGGGAGGUUGUGGCAGGAGGACCACGAGGUCAAAGCCAGCCUCAGUAAAAGUGGGAUCGCUAAGCAACUCAGUGAGACCCUGUCUACACUAAAAUACAUAAUAGGGCUGGGGCUGGGGCUCAGUGUUUGAGUGCCCCUGAGUUCAAUCCCCAGCACCCUGAAUUUCUCUGGCUUCCUCUUUUGCCAUGUGAUCUCUCCUGCAUAUUCUCUUGCCAUUGUGAUGCCAUGAGGCUCUCACUAAAGUUGAGCAUAUGCUGUUGAAUCUUCCAAAAUGGUGAGCUGUCUAAACCUGUUUCCAUUAUAAAGUAUUCAGCUUCAGAUGUUUUGCUAUAGCAACAGAUAAUGGCCUAAGAUACUUAUGACUAUUAGCAG